Pygocentrus nattereri (red-bellied piranha) is the source of this 345-nucleotide long non-coding RNA. RefSeq lists it as uncharacterized. The transcript has 3 exons. The record is from RefSeq and is a predicted model, not a curated record. Lineage: Eukaryota; Metazoa; Chordata; Actinopteri; Characiformes; Serrasalmidae.
AUUGUUCUCAACCAGUAAGUUUCCUUUGUUAGUUUCUUGCAAACUGCAUGCCUCUACAGAAUCUCCUGGAACUGUAUAGAAAUUAAGUGACUUUACAGGACAAAGAAACAAUGGACUUCAUCCGCCAACUAAAAACUAAUUUAAGAGAAAACUUAGGAAGAUAUUGAAAUUGCCCAGGAGGAACUGUUACCCCUUCAACAACAACAGGAAUUGACAAAUGGUGAGUAGACGCAGCAGUGACCCUGAUUUGGGUGCAGUGAUCUGGAGAAGAGGAGCUUCCUCAAAGAGCCCUUUAUGGAGGCCAGAUUGAUGAUGUAAUGGGCUAACAAAGGGCAAGCUUUGAGA